UCUUUCCUUAGGUUACCCACAGCCCAGAUAUCUGGGCCUAUGUCGCGUUCUCGGCAGCAGCAGCUGGACCUGGUGGUGAGGCGCAGAUAGAUACAGCGGGGACGUCUGUGGACCCAGAUCUGGUUCGGGAAACCAGGCAAAGCCUACGGUGAAACAGAGGUACAGAGAAGAAGACCCGAUUGAGGCAGAGGCAUUCCACUGGGGCUUCUUAGGACCGCAGCCUAGCCUGGGAGACGCAGAUUCAGGAGGCACUUGAAUGAUGUUCUGCUGCACUACAAAACGGAGGAAGGUUCUGAAGGCAAAACCUCCCAGGCCAUAGUUAGUUCCAUGAGUUGUGCGUCAAGAAUUCGGAUUGGAACUGCUCCAAAGCUUUCUCGUUCCGCGCCCUCCAGCGCUCAAGGUUCUGGUGGUGGCAGCAACCCAGUUCCAGGCGAGUCUGCCAAAACUCAUCAGAAAACAAAGGGGAGUGUGGUGCAUUUCCUGGGAUGCAGAUCAUGCUGAAAGAAAUAGGAACAGACGUUCCAUCCUAGGUGAAAGACACAGAAGGGAAAUGCCCAGUCCGGACCGGGAAUGGAAGGUCCUUGAUGAGGUGAAAAACAGAACAAAGCAAAGCAAUGGAAAUAGGGGAUGGCCAAGACUUCCCAAGAACAGAAGCACUGACCGGAGCCAAAAGGGGUUUAAGAAGGAAAAGCGAACCCAGUGCCAUGGAACGCGUGUACUGCAGAGGAGGAGGAGGAGAGAAUC
Long non-coding RNA from Eubalaena glacialis (North Atlantic right whale), 744 nucleotides. RefSeq lists it as uncharacterized. The transcript has 3 exons. Lineage: Eukaryota; Metazoa; Chordata; Mammalia; Artiodactyla; Balaenidae. The record is from RefSeq and is a predicted model, not a curated record.